UUUAUAUUAGAAAUAGUAAGUUUUGUUAAUAUUAAAAAAAAAAACACUUUUAUGAGUUUACUGAUUUAUCUUUUUAGGUAUCAGAAAAAUGAAGUUGUUUGUCAUUUGUCUGGUUGCUUUACUCUUCAUAAAUUACAGUGAGGCUUUGUGGUGUUAUGCGUGUUUGGGAAAAAAUUGUUCAGCUAGAGACAGGACUGCAGCUCACUUUUGAUAAACCCUGUCUGUGCCACCGUAGAUGCCCCCCAAUUUUAUUUGA
Molecule: long non-coding RNA, 256 nt
Organism: Tachysurus vachellii
Lineage: Eukaryota; Metazoa; Chordata; Actinopteri; Siluriformes; Bagridae
Exons: 3
Source: RefSeq, a predicted model, not a curated record